UUAGUUUAUUGUGUUAAGGUUCAACAACGUGUAUAUCGAAGAGUUUGGUAAGGAUGUAUUCCGAUAUUUACUUGGUGGAGCAGCUGAUCUAGAAUCUAUUAAUAUUUCUCUUCAUUCAGCUGGAUACUUCUUCUCAGAUUUCCUUCUGGAUGAUAUAUUGUUGGUCAAUAACCUUUCACAUCUUCAAGAAUUCAUCCUUAGAGACGGAGCCCUUACUCUAAUAUCUGCCCUCAGGUUGAUAUCAUCCCGGCCUAAACUGCGAACUAUUGGAGAACUACUCCACUGGGAUGUAGAGAAAAGUGAACUUGAUACUUUUAUCCAGAUACUUAGAAGAGCUAGGAGCCUUAACCUUCUUCAGGAUAUUCAUAUCUUCUAAGAGGAUAUCCAUAUUUUCUACGAGGCAUCAUAUCUUCUAAGUAGAUAUUUAUAAUUUCUGGAAAAAAUCGUUUUGGAUAUCCAUAUCAUCUGUGAGAAUUCUAAGAGGCUAUGUUUAUAUCCUAGAAAAUAUACAUAUCUUCUGGUAGAAUGAUAUUCUAUAAAUGUCUUCAUAGAAGGAUACACAUAUCUUCCAGGAGAAUAUCCAUUAUCCAUAUACUCCAGGAGAAUAUCCAUUAUCCAUAUACUCCAGGAUAAUAUCCAUUAUACAUAUACUCCAGGAGAAUAUCCAUUAUCCAUAUACUCCAGGAUAAUAUCCAUUAUCCAUAUACUCCAGGAGGAUAUCCAUUAUCUAUAUACUCUAGGAGGAUAUCCAUUAUCCAU
Molecule: long non-coding RNA, 759 nt
Organism: Eurytemora carolleeae
Lineage: Eukaryota; Metazoa; Arthropoda; Copepoda; Calanoida; Temoridae
Exons: 3
Source: RefSeq, a predicted model, not a curated record